GGCCGCGACUCAGCGGUUAGCAAGCCGUCUGGUUUGUCCAGAACCUCCCUGGUUCAGCAUUACAAGGCCUCCGAAGAUCCGGACGUUUGGUCACGGGAUAGGACCCGCGGACACAACCCGGGCGCCCUGCUUCCCGUGGGGCCGGGCCUUCGGUGCGGCGCCUGGCCUCUGUGCCCCUCCUCCUUGCCGGCAGGACCCGCGCGGCCGCCGGGGGCGCUGUGGGACGCGGGAGCGAUCGGACAGGCGCUCUGGCCUCGGGCGCCGCCGCUCCUUCCGCCUUCCCGGCGGGCCGCGCGCGGCGCCUGCGCACUCGGUGACCUUUGCGGGUCGGCUUCGCGGUGUGGAGCGGCUUGAGCUAUUGGUUCUGGCGAGAUGCUUCAAACCAUUAUUAAAAACUACUGGAUCCCCUUGAAGCCCUACUAUACCCAGGUUUACCAAGAGAUUUGGGUAGGAAUGGGGUUAAUGAGCUUCAUUGUUUAUAAAAUCAGGAGUGCUGAUAAAAGAAGUAAAGCUUUGAAAGGUUCAAGUCCUGCACCUUCUCAUGGUCAUCAUUAGCCAGCUUGCUUGAGUACAGAAUCGUCAGCCUGUAAAUCUAAGCAGGCUUUGUUAAAUGGGAACACGGAAUGUCGCCAUACCCUUAUAUAAGUACCAUGUUCUUUGAGGCAUGAAUAAAUGAUCUGUGAGAUGCACCACUACCAUGCCAGUACUGCUUUGUUUCCCCCAAGUAGAGCCUUUGCAGUGCAGCAGGGGCCCUCACCCAGCCCGCCCUCCUGAGCAAACCUGAGAAUGAGGAGUAAGUCUCCACUGCCACAGGGGUUGGUGAGUCUAGGCAUUAAUUUGAAUUCUAAUACUUAAUAAAUGUUUGUUAAACAAA
Ictidomys tridecemlineatus (thirteen-lined ground squirrel) is the source of this 874-nucleotide non-coding RNA. NCBI's taxonomy places the organism in Eukaryota, Metazoa, Chordata, Mammalia, Rodentia, Sciuridae. The record is from RefSeq and is a predicted model, not a curated record.